This 463-nucleotide ribosomal RNA is filed under the name uncultured bacterium. RNAcentral describes it as "partial 16S ribosomal RNA". It matches the Rfam family "Bacterial small subunit ribosomal RNA", at positions 28 to 507 of the family's 1533-position model. The record is from RNAcentral.
GAUGAACGCUGACAGAAUGCUUAACACAUGCAAGUCUUUGGCGAAGCUGUGCUUGCACAGCCUAGCCAAGGCGGACGGGUGAGUAACGCGUAAGGAACUUGCCCUGCAGUCAGGGAUAACAGACGGAAACGACUGAUAAGACCUGGUAAAGUCAGGCGGACUCAUGUCCAGCCUGAUGAAAAGAGAUGCUGCAGGAGAGCCUUGCGUCCUAUUAGCUUGUUGGUGGGGUAACGGCCCACCAAGGCGAUGAUAGGUAGCCGGCCUGAGAGGGUGGACGGCCACAAGGGGACUGAGAGACGGCCCUUACUCCUACGGGAGGCAGCAGUGGGGAAUAUUGGACAAUGGGGGCAACCCUGAUCCAGCAAUUCGGUGUGCACGAUGAAGGUUUUCGGAUUGUAAAGUGCUUUCAGAAGGGAAGAAAAAAAUGACGGUACCUGCAGAAGAAGCGACGGCUAAAUACGUG